UUUCUUUUCUUUUUCUAUUGUUGCAGGUCUGAAAUAGAUUUUAUUUCAGAGAUUGUUCGUACAACCAAGUAUGAACUAGAUUUGAAACUAUUUAGUACUCCAGCUCAUCUAGUUGGAAUGGGCACUCGAGCUAAAUCUAUAAACUCAUGGUUGGAAAAUGAGCAAUCUGGUGAUAACAUUCUAGCAAUCUGUGGCAUGGGAGGUAGUGGCAAGACGACUCUGGCCAAAUUCAUUUACAACUCAAACAAGCAAAAAUUUGAAAGCAACAGUUACCUUGAAGAGAUUGGAAAGCACUCUAAACAGGCUCAUGGUUUGCUUGAGCUACAGAAACAACUUCUCACAGACAUUCUAGGUGGAAAUAAUAUUGCAAGUAUAUCUAGUGUAUCUGCAGGUACAAGGAAGGUUGAGGAUGCGUUGCAAGUGAAAAGGGCAAUUAUUAUUCUUGAUGACAUUGAUGAACGUGAAGAAUUAGAUGCUUUACUUGGAACAAAGGCGAUUCAUACACAAAGCAGGAUCAUAAUAACAACUAGGCUUCUAGAUAUAAAUGCAUGGUUUGGUCCAUAUCUUGGAGUUGCAAGGUGCACGAACUUGAAUUGUUGAAUGAUGAUGAAUCAUUAGAGCUUUUAAGUUCCCAUGCAUUUGGAUCCAAACUUCCUAUGGAAGGUUUCAAGGAGCUUGCAGUUCACUUAGCACAGUAUUGUGCUGGAAGCCCGCUAGCUCUUAAAGUACUAGGCUCUUCUCUAUUUGUCGAUGUUGGCCAGCCAUGGAAAAUAAAUAGCAUGCUAGAGGUUUGGAGAAGUGCAUUGAAUUCACUGAAUUCAUUGAAAGGAGAUCUUGAUUGUAAAAUCCAAGGUAUACUACAAAAGAGCUUUGACUCAUUACCACAUGCCAGUAACAAAGAGUUGUUUCUGCAUAUUGCUUUUUUCUUUGUUGGUGAAUAUGAGGGUUAUGUGGUAAAGAUUAUGGAGAAUGACUGGCAUGCAAAAGCUGGGAUCAGGACCCUCAUCAACAGAUGCCUUCUUACCAUCUCACCAAAGAAAAAACUGAUGAUGCAUCAACUGCUUCAAGAGAUGGCAAGAAACAUAGUCCUUCAAGAGUCCAGAGAUCCUGCAGCACGUAGUAGAGUCUUGCAAAAUGAUGAAUCUUAUCGUUUGUUGUCAAAAGGAGAGGUAAUAAGAUGCUUCUUAAUAAUGUGUAUCAUGAAACUAACUUUCCUGUGAACCAAACUCCUAUGUUAACUUGCCUUGUGUUAUUUCAUGUCUUUCUCCAUUAGGGUUCAGAAACAAUUGAAGGUCUAGCACUUGACAUGUACAAGCUCAGGAAAGGGAGGACAUCAAAUGUAAGCCAAAGAUGUGAAUGAGUAUGGUACUCUUGAUAUUUUUGCUGCAUUUACCUUUAAUUUCCAGUGCAUUUUAUGCCAUACAUAAGUUCUGUACUAAUUAAUUAACUUAAUGCUAAAUUUGCAGCCAACAACCCUUAAAACAGCUUCACUUGCAACAAUGGACAAACUGAAAUUUCUCAAGCUAAAACAUGUGGAACUCAAGGGGUCCUACAAGAAUUUUCCAGAGUUAAGAUGGUUGUGCUGGAGUCAUUGUCAUUUGGAAAAAAUACCCUCCGGCUUAUUGGGUAGCAGGUUGGUAGCUAUAGAUAUGAGAAAUGGAGGGUUGGAAAAGUUUGAACCACCCAUGGUAGGAAUUUGAUGUCAUGUUUGUCUCUUCACCUUUUUCGUUGCAUUUGGUUGUGGAAAAGUGUUUUCAAUUUUCUUGGAAAAGUUUUCAAAAAGUAGUAGAAAUUUUAUUUUCAGUUUUUAUUAGAAAAUUUAGAAAACAUGUUGGGUUAAAACUUUUGAGUUUUCUUUUUCCGUUUUAGAAAAUUAGAAAUUGUGUUUGGUUGUGUUUUUUCUAUCAGUUUUCAAUUUCCACUUUUUGUUAUUUUAAAUUGUUUUUGGACAAGACACUAUUGAAAUUCUUUAUAAGUUAUUUUAAAUAGGGUUAGGGGUGGGUUGGCUGUGGGGUAAGUAAGGUUAGGGUGAGGUGGGGUGGGUUGGGUAUGCGGCAUGGGGUGGGUAUGGCGGUAGGUAUGGGUAAGUGUUGGUGGGNNNNNNNNNNNNNNNNNNNNNNNNNNNNNNNUGUGGGGAUGGGGAGGGUGUGGGCUUAGGUAUGGGAGGGUGUGGGGGUGUCGGUCGGGUGUUUGUGUGUAUUUUAUAUUUUAGAAAACUUUUGGAAAUAGAAAAGUGUGGAAAACAGUAAUUAUCGGUUUUCCAAGUUCUUUAUAAUUUUGGAAAACGGAAAGUUUUCUUUUCCCGGAAAACUUUUAGAAAAAUUAUCAAACUAAACACGGUUUUAAAAAUUUCGCUUUUCUGGAAAAGUACGAGAAUUUUUUAGAACCAAACACAACCGUAGCUUCCCAGCUUUCUGACAGUUUAUGUGUUAACGUAUGAUGAAUGAAUAGGUUCUUAAUUCGAUGAAGAUCCUAAAUCUUGGAUGGUCGAUCAAUCUUGUCAGUGUCCGCCAUCUUUCCCGACUUCCUAAUCUCGAGACUUUGAUUCUCUCGUUCUGUUUCAGUCUCAGUCUGACUCAUGUUUGUGAAAGCAUUGGAUGUCUUAAGAAGCUUUCUCUAUUGGACUUUCGAGGGUGUAAUCAUCGUGGGAAGGUUGCAUCGAAUAAGAAGUACGAAAAUCAACUGUUGGUCCCCUUGCCAGACUCGUUAAAGGUUUUGUUUUUAAGUGAACAGUCGCCAUCCUUUUACAAUCACAUGAAUUUUGGCAGUAAUCUGUUAAUGACCCCGACCAAUUACACUAAUCUUAAAAUGCUUCGGGUACUUGAUGUGAGUCGUUCUCAAAAUAUAAAGUCCCUCCUAUGUCUCCCAAGUGCGCUACAAGAGUUGUAUACAUCUUGGUGUUAUUCACUGGAGAAAAUAACAUUUCAAUCAGCUCGGUGCCGAUUACGGAAAUUUGAAUAUAAUUUCUGUAAAAACUUGUGUGAAAUUCAAGGCUUUUACAAAUUGGUGCCAUUAGCAAAUCUUGAUGAAGCAGAUUUGGGACAUAUGAAAUGGAUCAAAGCAUAUCAUGAUACUAAGGUGGACCUCAAAGAUGUUGAUGUCUUUAAAUUUGAUUGGCAUAUGCAGGUACCUUUCUCUCAUGCAUGAAUAAGCACAAAAAAACACAUCUUUUUACCACCAAGAAACUGAUUAAUAUAUGAAUAAUUUGCUAUUUCUGCAAUAUGUUUGACCAGGUGCUGUAUGAAUAUGGUACAAUAAGCACAUUCCUUCAAGGCAUAAAGGCUCAAAGCUUGCUAACGUCUGAGUAUAUGUUAUCAUCCGCAUCCUUAUCCUUUCGUGUGCCUUCUUCUCCUGAGAAAUGCAGGAUCCGAGGAUUAAACAUAAUCGCCUCAUACAGAUUUUCAGACACGUUACACGAGGAUGAAGAUACAAAAUGGGCUUUGUUCACCAAAGUCAGCAAUACAACCAAAGGCCUUACUUGGAUGUAUAACCCUUUUAUCUAUGACAUUCCGGGAACUGAAGAAGAUGUGAUGUGGUUAAGCUAUUGGCCCCUUGGGAACAUAUUAGACGCUGGUGAUGAAAUCAAUGUGUCCAUCAUUGUAGGGGAUGGAUGGGAGGUAAGCAGGUGUGGUGCCAGCCUUGUGUUCAUAGAUGAUGAUGAUGAAGUGGAGUUAGAAUACUACAAAAAUUACAAGAAAGAGGAAGAAGUUAUUGGAGGAGAUCUAUCUGAAUUUGAGCUCACUACAGGAGCCUACUAUCUUUGUCGUCGCGAUUACUUCAAGUCAACCACCCCUACCCCUGAUUGGUUAAAUAUGCUAGUUGGUGAUACCCUUCCACAUAAAGGUAAGUUCCUCUUUGAGCUGAUGCUUUUCAUCAAGAUUAAGCAGCAAAUACUGAUACAAUCUUAUAUCACACAGUCAUAGACUUACAAGGAUGGAGAAAAUCUAUUCAGACAGACUACUAUUUCUGAUUGGUUCCAGGUAUGGAGCGGAAAGCAUACAGAGGCGACACUAUUUCUGAUUGGUUCUAAGUAUGUACAUGUAAUCAUUCUUUUCAGCAUAAAAUACAAAUAUUUGUUUGUAAAUUUAAAUAAAUUUGCUGCUUAAAUCCCUUAACCCAACCUAACCUAAUCUAAAUGAAUAUAAGAUUUGUUUCUUAUUAGAAUAAAUUAUAUGUCGACCAUUCCUCAAUGUGCAACUGCCCGCCAUCAGCUUGUUUUUUUCUUCAUAGUUCCUCAUCCUUUAAUCUGAGUUGUUGUCCAACCUUUCCUCAUCUAUGAUUAGAGUGAAUGGUAGACACCACUUUAUACAACUCAAACAUUCGUAGCAACCUUUAGUAAAGCAUAUUAUGAUAUGAUAUGAGCUACAGCUACCUUGUUUUCUUUGAUAACCAUUUUCUAAAAGUAGUGUUGGUAACUUUUUAAACUUUUACAUUUGAGUUUGGAUUGAAGUUAUGUUGUAUAUAUUUUUGUUUCCAGUCAGGCUGGUUCUUACGAUGAGAAAUGAACAGAAACAAGGAUAGAAAAAUAUGGGAAUGGAGAAAAGAUAUGGAGGAGAAGUGAUAUUUGAGAAAUUAAAAGAAGGCUUGAGAAGAAAAUAAGAAUAAUGAAUUAUGAGAGUAGUGCACUUUAAGCUUUAUACACACAAUCUACUGGAAAUUUGAUGCAACUCCCCUCUUCAUUCUUAUCAUUCUCUCUUUCUUUAAUAUUUAAAAACCUAGGAGUAGAUUGUUGGGCAAACGACAUAUACACAUGCAUAAAAGCACACACAUAAAAAAAUGAGCUUGCGAAAAAUAUGAUAUUCAUGGGAUUGUGAUUUGCUACGGAUUUUAGUUUGAACACUUACGGGUGUACUAAUCGAUUUUUAUUGUGCUUGUACACAAUUGAUGAUGGGAAAAGAGCCUACUGCAUGUAAAGGACCUACAGGAAUUGGUAUGAUCCGAAAUGCAUAGACAACUUGAUGAUAUAGACCAACCAGAGAAGUCACCAGAGAGCUAUAGCUUGCUUUCCAUAUAUGAUUACUGAUAGAGAACAGCCCAUUGAGCCUACCAAACCUUGGAAGGUUUAUUCUCGCAAGAAAAGAACGAAAGGUGUAGGGCUGUGAUGCUUUGAGUGAUGGCAUCUUUUUUAGAGAACACUAUAUAUUGUGGUGAAUGCAAGAAUAAGGUCCACGUGAGAGAAUAUUUUUCUGUUAGGAAGGAUCGGCUAAUCAUUAGCUUGGGCAGGAAGGGAAUCAUUAGGUUUCCUUCUCUGAAUUUCCAUUUUGUAUUCUCUAUUUUGAAAUCCGUGAAUCAUAAGCAUUUUGCUCUCGAAUCUGUGGCUUAUUUAUUUCAUCUGUUUAGCAAUUGUUUUUUUUUCUCCUUCCUACCAAUUGGUUCUAUUGCCACGUUUUAUUUCCUUUCUCCACCAUGGUGCAGCCAACGGAAGCCCAAGUCUCUACUCGUUUGAAAACUCUUGAAGCUAGAAUGGAUACACAAGAAGGGAAAAUUGAUCACCUCUCCACCCAAAUCCAGGAGAUGAAAGAACUUAUGGAGAAGUUGUUGCAAAAAUCACCUGAACAAUCCGGAAAAUGCCCUGAAGAAGGAGAAUCAUCUGAAAUCAUCAUUGAAUCUGCUACCCUCCACUUUUCUCUCUUCCUAAGGUCAAACUCCCAAUGUUUGAUGGCACAAAUUUGAUGGUGAAGAAGAGCCAGAAUACUACAAAAAUUACAAGAAAGAGGAAGAAACUAUUGGAAGAGAUCUAUCUGAAUUUGAGCUGACUACAGGAGCCUACUAUCUUUGUUGUCGCGAUUACUUCAAGUCAACCACCCCCGAUUGGUUAAAUAUGCUAGUUGGUGAUACCAUUCCCCAUAAAGGUAAUUUCCUCUUUGAGCUGCUACUUUUCAUCAAGAUUAAGCUGCAAAUACUGAUACAUUCUUGCAUCACACUUUCAUAGACUUACGUGGAUGGAGAAAAUCUCUUCAGGCAGACUACGAAGGGUCAUAUAUGGAGCGGCAAGCUUGCAAAGGCGACACUCAUUCCGAUUAGUUCUAAGUAUGUACAUUUAAUCAUUCUUUUUGGCAUGAAAUACCAAUAUUUGUAAAUUUAAAUCAAUUUGCUGCUAAAAACCCUUGAUCUAACCUAACCAAUUUAUGAAUAUAAGCUUUGUUUAUUAUUCAAAUAAAUUACAUGUGAACCAUUCCUCAAUGUGUAACUGCCUGCCAUCACCUUGUUUUUUCUUCAUAAUUCCUCAUCCUUUAAUCUUGGUUGUUGUCCAACCUUCCCCCAUCUAUGCUCAGAGUGAAUGGUAGACACCGUUUUAUGCAUUGUAGCAGCCCUAGGCAAAGCAUAUGAGCUACCUUGUUUUCUUUGAUAACCAUUUUACUAAAAGUGGUGUAGGUAACUUUUUAAAUUUUUACAUUGAGUUUGGACUGAAGUUAUGUUGUUGUAUUUUUGUUUCCUGAUAGGCCAGUUGUUGCAAUGAGAAAUGAACAGAAACAUGGAUAGGAAGAUAUGGGAAUGGAAAAAAGAUAUGAAGGAGGAUGACACAGAAGUGAUAAUUGUGAAAUUAGUAACGGAGAAGGAGAAAAAGGAAGGCAUGAGAAGAAAAUAAGGAUAAUGACUUAGGAGAGUAACGAUAGAUGAACUUGUAAUUUCCCUCUCCUAUCCUCUCUUUCUCUUAUUCUCUCAUUCUUUCUCUCACUCCCUCUCAUCCCAUCUUGUACGAAAUGGCAUACAUGAACUUACACGAGACGGAUCGGCGCUUGUAGAAAUUGUAGGAGAGGGUCUCGUGCCUGUUGAAAUUGCAAACAUUAAAUUAAUAUGUUGCCUCUGUUAAUGGUCGAGUAAAUGGUUACAUUACUUAAAGAAAAAAUCUUUGACGACGCAAUCAUGACCUUUGUGACAAAUUUAUAAAUAAAGAUUUAAUUACAAUAAUGGUUGUUGGAGCUAUUAUAUAUNAUAUAUAUAUAUAUAUAUAUAUAUAUAUAUGAAAAAAAUCCUAAUAUUGUCCUACAUUUUUUGUGCCAAAUUUUACAAAACAUUAUUUAAUGUAUUAUCAUUCAUUUUUUGAGAAAAAAUUUAUGGCCAUUUUUUAACUAAUUUAAUCGAAAAAGUAAAAUGAAAAUUUUAAAAAUUUUCAUUUAAAACCAAAGUUUAUUUCUAUUCGUUUUAUAUGUUAAAUUCUGUUAUCCCUAAUUACAAUGCUUAGGUAUAACUUUGCAACCAAAGUUUUUUGAUUUUUAUCAAAUAUAUACAUUAAUUCUUACCACUUUAUUUUCAGUUUUUACAUAAUAAUACAUAUAAGUUUAUCAACAUUUGUUAAUUAUCUAUAAUAAAGUCAUAAAAUUAUUAAAAAACUAUUUCAAGUUUCUAAAAAACCAGUAUAACUAGAUUUAGUUUAUUGUAACAACAUGCAGAUGUUAAAAACCAAACAAUCUUCUUAUUUCAUAUUGCAGACGUUUGGUCAAUCUCUUAUACUGCAGAUGUCUGCAGAUAUGGUUCGCAGACUGCAUACAUUUUGCCUCAGAAAAAACAAGCAACACAUUAGUCUUUCUAUUUUUUUUCUAUUGUAGUCGUCUUCUCCCUUAGGUUGUCGAUUGUUUAUUCACCAUCUUCCCAAAGAAACACACACAGGGGCAACGAUCAAUCAACCUUCCCUGUGCAGUCAAAUGCAAAGCCACAACCCUUUAUUAGUUUUAGAUUGAAAUCGACGUCAUUUCCAUCCACUCCGUCAUCGACGCCCUUCCCCUCUGCUCUGCCUUCCCUGCAUCGCCUCCGUUAUGUGUCCUUUGUGCCUCUACCCUUCUUCAUCCUCUUUCUCUCUCUAGCGACCAAUAACAGUCGUUUUAGAUGUAUAAUAUGAAAAUCUUUCGAUUCGGCCGAUAUCAUCCCCCCAAACCACAUCCAACUGGUGGAGACCUUACUGGGAAACCAUGAGUGGUAUGUCGAGGGUGUUGGAUUAGUGUCCAAGCCCGUAACUAUAUUUGGUAUGUACUUGACCCGGUUGUGCAUGGUCCUUUUGGGUUGCCUUCACCAAUGCAACUUGACAAGGUUAUUUAGGAGAGAGAGAAGAUAAUAUGGUUUAUUAAUAUAUUAUAAGAAUAAUAUAUUAAAGGAGAAAUCAUAUUAUUUGAUUAAUAUUAGUCAUAAAUUAAUUAGGAAUUAAUUUGAUGACUAAAAGAGAUUAAUUGAAUAAAGGGCAUAAACUGUCAAAUGUGUGAUAGUUGAGUUUUGGGCUGGGAAACCUAAUGGACUAAGGGGGAAUGAAAUUAUGAUGGGGAUCCAUCAUAUUUUCGUCUAAAGGCCCUAAUCUAGAAGGUUCCAUGGGUUGAUUGGUGACUAAGCUGUCCAUUAGGGUUAAUACUGAAACCCUAGCAGCCUACACUAUAAAUAGAGGCCCUUGGAUGCAAUUUUCGGAUGCUUGACUCCAAGUGAAACCCUAGGGCCGAUUUUUAGUGUUCUUCCACCUCUCUCAUAAUAGCCUUAUUGCUUGUGGUGUUUGUGAACCAUUAGAAGGGUUACAAUUGUGACUCUAAGAUCAAUAUCAAGAAGAUUCAAAGGAUUCCAAGCAAAUUGAAAGAGGUAAACACUUAAAUUUGUUCUUAUAAUGUUGAUUUCGAAUUAUACAUACUAGAUCUAGGGUUGCAAGUCUUGGAUUAAUUAUAUGUACAAUAGAGAAGCCUAGAUCCAAGCUUUAGGGUUUUGCAUGAGCACAUAGGAUGUUCUUUUGCUUUAAAACCAUCGGAGGAUUCAUAUACAGUGCAUCGUCCCUUCACCUCUGGUCGCUUCGUAAGCUCCGCCUCCGCCAACUUCUGCAGGUAAGGGUUUUCUUUUCCUUUUCAUAUGAAAUCGAGUUCAAGAAGUUUUUUUCCCCUAAAAAUAGACUAUCAAGCUAUCAGAUGCAUAAUAUGUCUACACAUAUUGUUUUUGUUGGCAUUUCAUCCAUCAGAAGUUUUGAACUCAACUUGAAACUGAGUUUUUGUCGAAAACUGUAGGGUUUGUUAUAUCUGGGAAGAGGAUUGUGACAAAUGCUCAUGUAGUGGCUGAUCAUACAUUUCUAUUUGUUAGAAAACAUGAUUAUCCUACUAAAUACAUGUCAAAAAUUAAAGUUGUAGGUCAUGAAUGUGAUCUUGCUAUUCGUUUUGACUAGAUUACAUGCUUUUGUACAACUUCCUCCCCAUAUUUGUUUUUAUUCGUUUCUUUUGAUUUGUACAAUUCUUCAUUUAUGUGGAUUCAUGGAUUAUGACAAAACUUCCAGUAAAAGUCAAGUAUGUUGCUCAUGUUAUCCUUCUUUCUCUCUUUUAUAUACCAACCUUUUUUAAGUUUGUUCUUUGCACCUAACUAUUUUUUGUUAUGGUCUUUUGCUAACAUGUUUUGUUUUCAUAUUGACUUUGAAGGUGGAAAUCUGAGUUGUAUUUAUGACACCAAGACUACAAGAUUGAUGGACUGAUGGUCAACCUAUUUGGGAUAUUUUAAAAAUAUUUUUAUUUCUUGGUAUGUAUAUUUUGGUUCAAAGCCAUAGGUAGCAAAACCCAAAAGGUGAAAUAGGAGGAAGCUGCAGCCUUAGAGUUUAAGAAAAGGAAAGGAAAAGAUAAUUGUUAAUUAGUGGAGUACAUCAACGUAUGUAUUUGGUUUUGGUCCUUAAUUCUUCAUCAAUUUUUUUUAUAAAAUUUGAUAGUUUGAUGAAAAUGGUAAUGUAAGUCACCAUUGUAAUGUAUUGUUUAUUUGCAGAAACAUAAAUGUGUUCCUUUGGAUGAUUGUUUUGUUGAAUUCAAACUACAUUGGGUUUGGACUGAAGUUAUGUUGUAUUUUUGUUUCCGAGUGUUGCAAUGAUAAAUGAACAAAAACAUGCAUAUGAUGAUAUGGGAAUCGAAAAAAGAUAUGAAGGAGGAUGACUAAGAAGUGAUAAUUGAGAAAUUAGUAACAGAGAACGAGAAAAAGGAAGGCAUGAGAAGAAAAUAAGGAUAAGGACUCAAGAGAGUAACGAUAGAUGAACUUGCAAUUCCCCUAUCCUAUCCUCUUUUUCUCUGAUUCUCUCAUUCUUUUUCUCACUCCUUCUCAUCCCAUCUUGUAUAAAAUGGCAUACAUGAACUUACAGGAGACGAACCGGUGCUGGUAGAAAUUGUAGGAGAAGGUUUGGUGCGUGUUGAAAGUGCGAACAUUAAAUUAAUAUGUUGCCUAUGUUAAUGGUCCAGUAAACGGAUGAGUAAAUUGAAAUUGAUUUAUGUUUUUGGAAUCAACAUCAUUUCUGAAAGUAAGCUAGAGUUAGGGGCAUUGUGGUAGUUUUAUAUGUUAGUUAUCGAAGUUAUUAACAAAAGUUAUAGGGUAGUUAAGUUCUAGUUAGUUAUUUCAUGGAAAGAACAAUUGAUAUUAAAAGGGUGUAAUGGUUCUGUAAUGGUUGCACCGAUUCAUAUAUGUGUAUAAACAUGUGUUUGAUGUAAUAGCUAGCAUGUGGAGUUACUUAAUAAAAGACUGUUAGCACUGGUACAAAAAUGAGCUAUGGCCACACUUUUUGGAAACAAGGUGUAACGACCCAAUUUUCACGUCCAAAAAUUCCGUUUUUAAAACAUUACUUAGAAAACAUUACUAAUUAAAACAUUGUUCAAUUAAACCAUUUCACAUCGAAAACCCAAAUUGGAAAUCCACAACAUGUAAACAACCAAAAUAUCAGAGUAUCAAUCCCAGAAUGAACUCAUAACUGCGGAAACAAGAGUGUGUGUGAUAUGUCGCUACCGCGCCGGCUCCUUUCCCCUAGCCGAAGAGGUACCUGAAACAAUAACUGAAAAACGUAAGCACAAAGCUUAGUGAGUUCCCCCACCGUACCACAUACCAUAUACUCACAUGACAUACAUAUAUUGUCAGGCAUAUCUGGGUGCCCGACCUACCCCUUCGGUCCUCUCAACCGGAUACUGCCUAGCAUAUCUGGGUGCUGGCCUCCCCUUUAGUCCUCUUGACCGGAUACUGCCUAGCAUAUCUGGGUGUUGGCCUCCCCUUCGGUCCUCUCGACCGGAUACUACCUAGCAUAUCUGGGUGCUGGCCUCCCCUUCGGUCCUCUCGACCGGAUACUGGGGAACUAUUUCUCCCCUCUACUACUACCACAUAACAUGUAUCACAAUAUCAGAAUCUAUCUAUCAUGGCUGGGUAUGACUACCCCUUCGGCCCUACCGACCGGAUAUCUCGGGGACUAUCUCCCCCUACUGUCACUAGCACAUAGCAUCAUAUCAUACUAGCACAUAAACAUAACACAGGUAGUAGUAAUCCCUAGAUGAAUAUCACAGAGACAAUCAUCUACAUACAACUCCUACUGGUGGGCCGACAUUGUGGCCGUAGACCCACCGCUACUGGAAGGUAACUCACCUCGAAAGUAACUGCGGAAGUCUGCUUGCUAAGCGCCUGACUGCUGAAUCAGAAAUCCUCCGGCUAUAAAUCAUAAACAUAGGUUAGCCUCUCAUUCACACCCUUAGGUCAGAUNNNNNNNNNNNNNNNNNNNNNNNNNNNNNNNNNNNNNNNNNNNNNNNNNNNNNNNNNNNNNNNNNNNNNNNNNNNNNNNNNNNNNNNNNNNNNNNNNNNNNNNNNNNNNNNNNNNNNNNNNNNNNNNNNNNNNNNNNNNNNNNNNNNNNNNNNNNNNNNNNNNNNNNNNNNNNNNNNNNNNNNNNNNNNNNNNNNNNNNNNNNNNNNNNNNNNNNNNNNNNNNNNNNNNNNNNNNNNNNNNNNNNNNNNNNNNNNNNNNNNNNNNNNNNNNNNNNNNNNNNNNNNNNNNNNNCUACUCGUCGAGUUAGGCGUUGACUCGACGAGUUCUCCUUCCAAACUGAGGUUCAAGCCCUUCAUCCUACUCGCCGAGUUGUAUGAACAACUCGCCGAGUUCAUCUUCAUCCGAAGAACACUUAUGCUGCGACUCGCCGAGUUGUAUGAACAACUCGUUGAGUCUGUUCUUGAUCUAAGGAGAUUGCCUUGAACUCGCCGAGUCAUGGCAAUGACUCGCCGAGUUCCUUCAUGGAUGAGUUUGGCUUCCAACUUACAGAGUCACGCCCCGUGACUCACUACACUACUCGACACAACGAAAAGGGGACAAACUCAGAGACUCGCGAGCAGACUCACCGAGUCAGAUGGACGACUCGCCGAGUCGUUACCAUGCAGUCUCUAAAUGGUCGAUUUUGCUUGAAUCCAGCUUACGCUAUCCACAGAUCUGGGUUCCUAGAGCAUGAAUAACACGUAAAGUUUCCAACUUUACGUGUAGAUACUCACCAAUGAGGGAUUUAGGGCUCAAAAUGCCUCAAAAGGGUAGAUCUAGGGUGAACAAGCAACAUGGGUCCAUAAAGGUGGUAGAUCCAGGCUCCUGGAGCUCGAUUCCACUUAGAUCUAUGAGCUACUCUGCUUAUUACGAGUCCUCAAGUAAACACAAGCUUGGAAAUGGUUCAAGAAGGACUUUAAUGGGGCCAUAAGCAUGAAAACAUGGGGGAAAACGAGCCAUACCUUAGUGAACACUCUAAGAUAGCUCAAAGAUGAUUGACCUCCUCUUCUCCUUCUUGAUCUCCUCUCAUUCUCACUCCAAAGCUUCAAGAGAACACCAAAGGCUUCAAAUCCACAAUAAUUAAGGCUUAGAACGAGGUAUAGGGCUCUGAGGGUGAAUGGGGGUUGACUUGGGGCGGAAAUGAGAGAUUAAAUAGGGUGCAAACCCCUGAAACUUAGGGUUUCAUCAAACAGCGGUGACUCGCCGAGUCCGGAAUAUGGACUCGCCGAGUCACCAACUUAAACAUGUCCUGGGUCCCGUCUCUACUCGGCGAGUCGGACCUAUGACUCGCCGAGUCCAAGGCUAAAAAUGGAAAAUACUCAAAUAAUCUUACAUACCAGGAACCAGGUGCUACACAAGGUUGUCACGGAUUUGGUUAAUUGUGUCACUAAAGGUCAUUAAUCAAAUUCCAGUCAAAUAUUAGCUAAAAAUAGUCACCAUUGCAAACUAUGUUCAUACAUUUCAUCAUUGUUUAACAUAAAAGUGUGACAAAUACUAGCCGAUAGUCACGGUGGAUCAUUGUGAUUGUAAGUAUUCAUUAUUGACAUUUAAAAAAAACACGUGACUAUAAGUGUUUUAUGAUACCAGUUUAAGUUCAUGUAUGUCUACAGUUAAUGAUUUUGAAUAUAAAAGAGUAAAACAUAUGACUAUAAGUAUUUUAUUAUGACACUAAAAAAACAAAGCAUGUAACAAAGUAUUUUUGUAGUCAUGUUUAAUUUUACGUUUAUCUAGAAGUAACAAAUAAUAACAAUAAUUAACAAAAACAAAAAAAAAAAAAAAAAAAAAAAAAAAAAAAAAAAAAAAAAAAAAAAAAAAAAAAAAAAAAAAAAAAAAAAAAACAUGUCACCAUAAGUAUUUAAUAAUCACAUAUGAAUGUUGAAAAGUGAACAAAAUAUUGAGAGCGAGAUCAAUUUUGCGUCAUCUAACUUUACUAAUAUUGGGAGCCAGAUCAAAAUUUCUAACAGUUUUCCCCCUUUUCCAAAAUAUUUUUAUUUCCGUCUUUCUAAAAAUAUUCCUUAGUCUUUCUCUUUUCUCCUAUUGUANNNNNNNNNNNNNNNNNNNNNNNNNNNNNNNNNNNNNNNNNNNNNNNNNNNNNNNNNNNNNNNNNNNNNNNNNNNNNNNNNNNNNNNNNNNNNNNNNNNNNNNNNNNNNNNNNNNNNNNNNNNNNNNNNNNNNNNNNNNNNNNNNNNACCAAUGACAGUCGUUUUAGAUGUAUAAUAUGCAAAUCUUCCGAUUCAGCCGACAUAUCCCCCCAAACCACAUCCAACUGGUGGAGACCUUAUCGGAAAACCAUGAUCGGAAUGUUGAGGGUUCAUAUACAGUGCAUUGAUGGUAGUCACUGACAUCACAAUAGCCCCUUCACCUCCGGUUAGUGGUGGAUUCAGCCCGAAAGUCAAGUGGGAUGCACCGUUGACCGUUGACCAUAUAAAUUAAUACGAAAAAAUUAAAAUAACAAGAAAUAGAAUAACAUUAUAACCUUAAAUGUCAUUUUACAAUUGAAAUCUAGGACAUAACUAAAAAAUCCAUUGAUGAUAUUUUCAUUCCUAACCUUGGAAAUUUUUUAUGUUUCAAACUGUGCAAAUUACACAAUAAUUUAAAAUUUCAUUUGGAAUCAAUUUGGUUAAACAAUAAAAAACCAUUAAACAAUAAAAAUCAUUAAACAAAACCAUUCAACAUAGAACAAAGGCAAAGUCACUAAGUAAGUUCAAAACUAUUAAGCAAAACAGUUAAGUAAAAAUCUGAACUUUGUACACCCUUUUUAAUCGGUUAUAUAUCUUUCCAUUGUCCCACAUAACUAUUAAGUGCAACAAACUUAAAAACUUUUCGUCGGCGGUGUUGUGCGGCGUCAUACGGUGGUGGGUCGUGUGCGGCGGCAGAUGGUGUCGGUCAGCCGGUGGUGAGCGGCUUCAGGCAAUGGCCUCACUACGUUAGGCAGCGGUGAUGUGUGCCUGGAUUGUGCGAAGUUUUGGCGGCGGUGGGCGGUGGUUCUAGAGUGCUAAUUCCCGACGAUUUUCAUUUGUUUGUGCUAUGGACCAUGGUUUGAGGUUUCCACUUGUUGGGUACUUGGUAGGCUAGGUCAAAGAACGGAAGAGAAGAAUAGACCGGAAGAGAAAAAUGGACGAGGGAAAGAAAUCUAAAUGAGUGGGGACCAAUGUUUGCGAAGUGGGUCCAUAGUUAAAAAUAAUAACGAGAUAAAUUAUUUUUUUUGCAUAUUACUAUAGGGAAAAAAUUUUAAGUGGGGGUCAUGCACCCCACUCCUAUUGAAUUGAAUCCGCCACUGCCUCCGGUAGCUUCGCAAGGCCCCCCCGCCUCUACCAACUUCUGCAUGUAAGGGUUUUCUUUUCCUUUUCAUCUGAAAAUCGAUUUUAAGAAGUUUUUUUUCCCCUGAAAAUCGACUAUCUGUCUAUCAGAUGCAUAUUAUGUCUACACGUAUUGUUUUUGUUGGCAUUUCAUCCAUCGGAAGUUUUGAACUCAACUUAAACUGAGUUUUUGUCGAAAACUGUAGGGUUUGUUAUAAUUGGGAAGACGAUUGUGACAAAUGCUCAUGUAGUGGUUGAUCAUAGAUUUCUACUUGUUAGAAAACAUGGUUCUCCUACUAAAUAUAGGUCAAAAGUUAAAGUUGUAGGUCAUGAAUGUGAUCUUGCUAUUACGAGGUUACAUGCUUUUGUACAGCUUCCUCCUCAGAUUUGUUUUAAUUCGUUUCUUUUGAUUUGUACAAUUCUUCAUUUAUGUGGAUUCAUGGCUUAUGACAAAACUUCUAGUAAAAGUGAAGUAUGUUGCUCAUAUUAUCCUUUUUUUUUUUCUUUUAAAUACCAACCUUUUAUGAGUUUGUUCUUUGCAACUAAUUAUUUUUUGUUAUGGUCUUUUGCUAACAUGCUUUGUUUCAUAUUGACUUUGAAGGUGGAAAUCUGAGUUGUAAUUUAUGACACUAAGCCUACCAGAUUGAUGGACUGAUGGUUAACCUAUUUGGGAUAUUUUAAAAAUAUAUUUAUUUCUCGGCAUGCGUAUUUUGGUUCAAAGCCAUAGGUAGCAAAACCAAAAGGGCUAAAUAGGAGGAAGCUGCGGCCUUAGAGUUUGAGAAAAGGAAAGGAAAAUAAAAUUGUUAAUUAGUGGAGUACAUCAACGUAUGUAUUUGGUUUUGGUCCUUAAUUUUGCAUCAAAUUUUUAUAAAUUUUGAUAGUUUGAUGAAAAUGGUAAUGUAUUGUUUAUUUGUAGGAACACAAAUGUGUUCCUUUGGAUGAUUAUGUUGUUGAAUUCAAACUGCAUACUCAGGUGCUCCUUACUCAUUCUUCUUUGUGCUUUGAGAAUCUUACCAAUUGGUUUUUUAGUCAUUGUAGUAUCAUACUUUCAAGAUUUUCCUAUAUUAUGCCUUGUGAAAUCUUACGGAUUGGUGAAAACAUGUUGCUUGUUGCGGGUAGAAGGCAAGAACUUGGAAAAAAGCAAGUCCUUAUGGCUUUUUGGUCAUUAUAGUAUCAUAUUUUCAAGAUUUUCCUGGUUGGUGAUAUAGCCUAUAAAGCCCUCUGGAAUGACCUAUUCCUACUCAAACCUUACAUGUACGUAUGGUUUAUAUCUAAUUAUAAAUUUCACUUCUUUUUUAACAUAUUUGAUGCAUUAGCACAUUUUUGGAUAGAGAAAUAUUAGUACAUUGUUAUUAUUGGAAAAAAAAAGUAAAUGUACUAGUUAUAUAUGUUGGUCUUUCUUUUUUUAGGUGUGGGAAUUACAUAACAAGUUCAAAGGCAUUGAGAGAUGCAAAUAGAAAUACAACGAAGACUAACACAAUUUAAAUAAUAAAUAGCAAUNGAUAAUUUAACAACCACUUGGUAAUCCAACAAAUGGUUUUUAGUUUUUAUUGUUUUUAACUAAGUUAUACAUUUAUUAUAUUUUGUAUGUAAUUGUAUUAGACAUUUUUAAUGUCUUAGACAAUUUGUAUAAUAUGUUUAUUAAUUUAAGUUGUUUGUUAGAAUAACUUACAUAAUGUGAAUUGAAUAAUAUUUGGCAUAUGAAUGAUUUUAAGUUGUUCAAUAAUAGUCAUGACAAACGAAAAAGUGUGAUUAAAUGUCAAAUAAUAGUCACCGUUUAAUAUAUUAUGUGCCACUAAAAGUCAAUAAUAGUUAUGACAAACGAAAAAAUGUGUGACUAAAAGUAGUUUAUGGUCACAAGUUAAUAUAUUAUGUGUUACUAAAAGUUAAUAUUAGUGUUGACAAACGUAAACCAUGUGACUGAUAGUAGUUUAUUGUCAUAGAUUAAUAUCUUGUGUGUCACUAAAAGUCAAUAAUAGUCAUGACAAACGAACAAGCCGUGUGACUAAAAGUAGUUAUGGUCAUGGUUUAAUAUAUUACAUGUCAUUAAAAGUAAACAAUAUCCAUGAAAAAUGAAAAAAAAAAACAUGUGACAAAUACUUGUUUAUCGUCAUGUUUUAAUAUAUUAUGAGUCACUAAAAGUUAGCAAUAGCCAUGAAAACAAAACAAAUUUCCAAAUUGUGAGGAAAGUAGCAUAUGGUGACGGUUAUCAAAAAAUGAUUAAAAAAACUACAAAAUUUGGUACCCUAUAGUGACGGUUUUUACCUAUAGUAACAGUUUUUAUGGUUAUAGUCAACAUAAUUAAACAUCACCUUAACUUACCUUUAAUGAUGUGACCUUUCCUUUCACAUUGAAUGAAAACAAAAAACCUUCAUAAAAUGUCUGUAGUGACAAGUUUUUUGCAUGGACAAAGACCAGUUUUGUACAAGUGUAGUUUUGUGUGCAAACUAUCCUUUUCAUUUCUCAUCCUUGCAUGAUGUUAGUGCAAGUUUUGUCCCUUUUUGAUUAACUCCCACAAAAUGGUAUCGUAGCCUAUGGUUUUAGGUUCAAUAGGCUGUAGCAUCCUCGUUCAUGGUUGAUUGAUGAUUGUGACCUAAUUGAGAAGAUCUGGGUAAUUAUGUUUUUGAAAGCAUGAAAGAUUGAAGGUUUUUAAGAAGUUGAAGAUAUGCACUAUAUAGAGGGUUUCGUUUGUUACAUUUUUAUUGAUCCGGAUGAAAAGAUUAUGGAAAAGAAUUGUUCAUCUUAACAUUUUUGAACUUGUAUAAGACUUUAAUAUAUUAAAAAAAAAAUUGAAUUCAUACCUUACAUCUUCUUCAUAGAUUAAUCAAUCAUACCAUUAAACUUUCAAAGUAUGUAACCUCAACAACAGUUAACUUCUACGAAACAUAAAGAACAUAAUGAUAAACAAGGAUGUGAUCAAUUGAUACACCAUCAACAAUGAUCAUAGGAUAACACAAAAUUGAUGAAAACUGUUGAGAUGCCCGAAAGAAAAUAACAAAAAACAUAUGUAGUAGAUGUAGUAGGGGUGUUGAUCGGGUAAUUUUUCGGAUUUCAGGUGAUUCGGGUCGGAUAAUUCGGGUUUUUCAUGUUAGAAAAAAUAGCCGUUACCCUACCCAAACUAAAUUCGGGUAAUUCAGGUAUUACCCGAAAUAUAUAAUUUUUUUUUUUGAAUUUCACCUGAAAAUAAAUUUAAUGAAAUAGAUAUGUCGUGCUUUAUUAGUCUUGUUUAUAUAAACAAACGAGACAUAAACGAAGUUACUCAAGCUUUGAACAUUGACAUUUCUUAGUCAAUAAUACUUGAGAUAUCAAGUAAUUUUUUAACAACUUAAUCUAAUAUGAUAAGAUGUUAAAAAAACAAAUACUUAAAGAUUUUAAUUUAGAAGUUUAAAAUGUUUAAGAUAAUUGUAGCCAUAAGUUUUUCCAUGUUCUGAAGUUUCGUCAAGAUUAUGAGUUUGUUAGUUGCAAUAAAAACUAUAAUAUAAAAAACAAUUAAGUUUUAAAGAACAUGAUGAUAUAUAAACAACUACUUUUAAUAUUGUUAGUGUCAUAUUGCCAUAAUAAAUAGAUUCAUGUUUUACAAAAAUGAUAAUUAGUUUAAGCGUGAUCAAAUAUCUGCUAUAUAGUACAAACACUACAAAAAAAAGAAAAUUUUAAAAUAAUUCGGGUAAUUUGGGUAUACCCGAAACCCAAAAAAUAUACCCUUUCCCCGACCCGAAAAAAAUCGGGUUACCCGAUAACCCGAAAAAAUUUACCCGAUACCUGAAAAAAUCGGGUGGGUAAUUCGGGUAUCGGGUAUUUUCGACAGGGCUAAGAUGUAGAGACGUUAGAUUCAAAGACAUAUAGAUACAUAGUCAAGAAACGCCCAAAAGCAGUUGGAUAGAUGAGACUAUCAUGGUCAAAAGUUUUUCAAUGAUUUUCAUUCAUCAUCAAAAAAUGAAUGCUUAAAGGUAAUUUAAUCUGAAAAAAAAAAUAAAAGGAAAAUCAUAUGGAUGAUGGUGUUUGCAAUAUAAAGUAUAUCUAAGAUUUUAAAAUAACCUUACCUUGAAGGAUAAUGGUGACCUUGUACAAAAAUUAAAUGAAAACAGGUGAUCAAACAUACAUAAUCAGGUAAUGUAUCAGGUAAAAUAAGCUUGAAUGAAUACAUUAAUUGGGUCAUGCAUUUCAUCGAACAUCUUGUAGGCAUGUUUCUCACAGAAAAGCAAUAAAUAUAACCUCGCUUAUACCUAAGGUUGUGGACCAUAAACCCUGGAUCGUGGUUUUUGUCAACAAUGUUGCAGAAAAGAUCUAUCCGCUUAUUAGACCGACCGGUAUAGUCACCACGAGCCGUUUCGUGGUUUACGUGUCCACGAACCACGGACGUGCACACCGUCCCGGUGGUUCGUGGUGGUCCGUGUUCGUUGUGAGUCGUGUUCGGGACAACGAAUUCAAACGAAGAAUUCGAUUGGUGUUUGGUUUUUGGCCGUUGAACGGCUAUUUUGGCCCAUUUCUUUUUUUUUUCAAACUCAAUUAUAAAUACACUUCUAAUACCAAAACACAUACACAUACAUACACAUUCUAUUACACCCAUGGAUCCCUCAAUAAAUAUGAAAUUUUUAAAAAGUUUUGACUCGGAUGACGACAUAGAAUUCGUCGAGACAUUCUUCAAUGUUGUGCAACACGUUCACGCCGAAGAAACGAAUGCAGCGCGUACAAGGGCGGUCGUCAAUCGUGAUCGCCAAGCCGCACACGACUUAUUGGUACGUGAUUACUUUGCCGAUAAUUGUCUUUAUAAUGACGACUCGUUCGAACGUCGUUUUCGUCUGAAUAAGGCUAUAUUUUUACGUAUUAGUAAUGCUUUAGAAUCUCGUUAUGAUUUUUUCAAACAAAAACCCGACGCUAGAGGAAGAAUGGGUUUUAGUAGUAUACAAAAAUGUGCGGCUGCUCUUAGGUAUUUGGGAUACGAUAUAGCAUUUGAUGCAUCUGACGAAUACUUGAAAGUAUCCGAGAGGACCGCAGUUGAAUGUGUAGAUUGGUUUUCUGCAUGUGUUUAUGAGGUUUUUCACGAAGAAUAUUUGCGUAAACCUACUCAACGUGAUAUUGAGAGAUUAUAUUCGGCUCAUGAAGAGAGGCAUGGAUUUCCCGGUAUGCUUGGCAGUCUAGAUUGUACGCAUGUGGCUUGGGAAAAAUGUCCAACUGCAUGGCGUGGUCAGUUCACUCGAGGAGAUAUAGGUGAACCAACUAUCAUCCUAGAAGCUGUUGCAUCUCAAGAUUUGUGGAUAUGGCAUGCCUUUUUUGGAGUAGCGGGGUCUAACAACGACCUUAAUGUUCUUGGUCAGUCUCCACUUUUCAACGAUAUUUGGACCGGCAAAGCACCUGAUAUGACGUUCACGGUAAACGGGCACGCGUACAAAUAUGGUUACUACCUUGGUGAUGGGAUAUACCCGGAUUAUUCUACAUUGAUGAAGGCAUACUCAGUUCCUCGAAGUGAAAAAGCAAAAUUUUUUACAAAAAAACAGGAAUCAGCGAGAAAGGAUAUCGAGAGGGCAUUUGGAGUCCUUAAGCAAACAUGGCAUGUAGUAAAUAUGCUACACGACUCUGGGAUAAAGAUAGAAUUAAGCGAAUGGUCCUAGCAUGUAUUAUAAUGCAUAAUAUGAUUAUUGAAGAUGAAGGUCGAGCGAUUUGCACGUAUGAUUCGAACGACGUUGUCAUUCCAAUUGAGGAGUUCGUACCCGGAACGAAUGCUUUUUUGGAGCGAGUUGUUGAAAUUCAUAACAGUGAAACGUGUUUCAAUCUUCGAGAAGAUGUCGCGGAACAUUUGUACCAACAUAGCAUGAACGCCGAUUAGGAUUUUUAUAUGUAUGUUUGUUCGUUUUCUUAUUAAUGUAAUGUUUGUUUUCUAGAUUAACUAAGUAAUGUAGUUUAAAGUUGUUAUUUUAUUUUUAUAAUUAAUGAAAAAAUAGUUUUAAAAAAAUGAAUGCUUUUUACUUAUAAAAAACGUAAUUUUAUUUUAAUUUUUGAAUUAAAAAAAAGUAAUUUUAUUGUAUUUUUGAAUUAAAAAUAAAAUAAAAAUAAUGAUGUGGAGUGGCGUGUUAGUGGUAAGUAUCCCAUGUUAGUGGUAAUGGAAUGUGGUGCUGAUGUGGCACCCACCACAUAUGUGGUAUAUGGUGGGUAUAACGGAUGGUCUUACCGUCAACUAGUGAAAGACCACCCAUCACCAUCACUACUUCAGUCCAUGUCCACCAUCACCAGAUCCUAAAACCCUUCACCGUCAUCAUCAAUUUGGAGAAAGAAAAGAGAACAUAAGAGAAGAAAGUAACCAGAGGAGUCUAAGGUUCGGUGGUUGGAGCAUUGUUGCAAUGGGAGAAAGAAAAGAGAAUGAGAUCUGAAAGCCAGAUGGUCCGGUAAUUGUGGAGUCCAUCGAUUAGGUUCAUCUGGUUCCAAAGGCGGUUAGGGUUCAUCUGGUUCAGCUUCUCUCCACUUCCUUCAUUUUCUUCUCUCUCAUCUAUUAACGAAACUAAAUGCCGAAAUUGUUUUUCUGAGAUUUUUUUGGAUUUGAUGGCAUAAGGUUUGAAAUCUAUAACAUUGAAUUCAUCAACUGGAUUGUAAUUUAUGUUUCAUCAUAUUCUAUGUGAUAUUUUGUGAUUUCUAUUUCAUUAGAUUUUGUUGUUUUGAAUUUAGUUUCUUAAAAAAUUGGUUUUGGUUGUGCUUUUUUUUUUCCCACAAAAUUGAUUAGUAGGUAUGAGCUUGGUUAUGGAUCUUGCUAGAAACACCAAGGACGUAAGCAAGCGAGAAGGCAACGUUUUAGUCGGAGGAAGAUGAAACAGAGUUAUAGGUUGUUCAUCAGAGAAAACGAAGUUAUGGGUUCUUUACCGGAGAAGAUGAGGGUGAGGGUGGGAUGGGUAAAGUAGUAAGGGGGUGGUGAGACCCGUCAGAUUUUAAUAUUUAAUUAAUACCCUUUUCACAUUUAAUUAAUAUUCUUUAAGCUAAUUGAUAAUUUUUAAAAAAUAUAAAAGAAAUUAAUAAGGGCAAAUCAGUCUUUUUAGAAUGUGGACCAAACAUGCAACAAAAAUAUAAAUAAAUGAUGGUCGGAGUUAAAAGAAAUUGCUAGGGACCAAAUAGGUAGAUUACUCUAAAUGACAGGGACCAUCCCUGUAAUUUAACCCUUUGACUAAUUUGAAACAAACGCGUACUUAUUCGCACCAUAACAACAACCGAAAGUCACCGAACACCUCUAAUCCACCAGCGACGUGCCGACGUUGACUUUGAUGCCAUUAUAAUUCCCUUCUUUUUAACAACCUCUCAUAGACGUUGACUUUCAUGCCAUUAUAAUUCUCUUCUUUUCAACAACCUUUCAUCUUACUAAUUUCAAUGACGUCUGCUUCAUCAUCUUCUUCUUCUCUGCUAAAUCAUACCAGCUGCCAUGACGUUUUUUUAAGCUUUAGAGGUGAAGAUACCCGUAAUUCAUUUACAGAUCAUCUAUACGCAGCUUUAGUGCGAGCAGGAGUUCGCACUUUUAGGGAUAAUGAUAAUAUCGACAGAGGUCAAGAACUGAAGCCGGAAAUCGAUAGAGCAAUCAAAGAAUCUAGGGCUUCGAUAGUUGUAUUAUCAGAGAAGUAUGCGAAUUCCAGAUGGUGCCUUGACGAGCUGCUGUUGAUCCUUGAGCAAAGGCGGAGCUUGAAUCAUUUUGUUAUACCGGUGUUUUACCAUGUCGAUCCCUCAGAUGUCAGGAACCAAAGGCAAAGUUUCGCGAUUAAUGUAGGCAAAAGAGCAGAAGGGUCAAAAUGGACAGAGUAUAAUGUCAAUCGAUGGAAGGCAGCUCUUACAGAGGUUGCUGAUUUGACCGGCAUGGUUGUUUCCGGGUAUGCUUUCUCUAUUCAAGCUUAUUGUUUAAUCAUUUGGAAACUCUUUUUGAUUAAUUCAAGUGAGAGUGGUAAAAUAUGAUAAGGAAUCGUAAUAUGUGCCUAGGAAAUGAUAGAAUUCAGGUAUGCUUCUUAAAAACAUCAAGUCAUGGAAUUUUCAAAGUGCAGAACCAGAUGAUGAGAGGCUUAAUGUGUGUAUUACAUAUUUACCUUAGAACUCUAACUCUCUAAGGGGAUGGUUUACUUUUGCACAAAUACUUCAUUUUCUUUACACCUUGUCUCUAGACACAUUUGGCAUGGUAAUUGAAUUUUCUGCAUAAUGAAGAUUGCAAGUUUACUUGAUGGGAUAAAUAGCUUUUCGGUUAUGUAUUAGACAUUCUCCUCCUUACUUAUGAAUAGUUUACUACAAAUCUACAAUAUACACAUAUUCACGUAUCAGUUAUGUAUAUAUAUGAUGUGAAAUAGUGAGUGAGAAGUGAAGCUAAAAUUAAAACUGAUAACAUAGCGGGUAUUGGGGUUUGAAUUUGUCCCUACAGGUAUUGCGUGUAUCUAGUUGGCCUUGACAUUAUUGAAAACAUAAUUCAAUCAGAUUGCAUAUAUCCGUACACCUCAGUUCACAUAUUUAGCAGGUUGAUAAUGGUUGCAGGAAGAAUAUUAAAUUUACUAGAGCAUUUGAAUUCCUUGCACUAUAACUGAAGCAGUUAAGGUGUAUAAGAAGAUUACAUGUCAUGUUCUGAAUGUGUUUCUUUUCUUUUUCUAUUGUUGCAGGUCUGAAAUAGAUUUUAUUUCAGAGAUUGUUCGUACAAUCAAGUAUGAACUAGAUUUGAAACUAGUUAGUACUCCUGCUCAUCUAGUUGGAAUGGGCACUCGAGCUAAAUCUAUAAACUCAUGGUUGGAAAAUGAGCAAUCUGGUGAUAACAUUCUAGCAAUCUGUGGCAUGGGAGGUAGUGGCAAGACGACUCUGGCCAAAUUCAUUUACAACUCAAACAAACAAAAAUUUGGAAGCAGCAGUUACCUUGAAGAGAUCGGAAAGCAUUCUAAACAGUCUGAUGGUUUGCUUGGACUACUGAAACAACUUCUCAAGGACAUUUUAGGGGAAAAGAGGGCAAGUAUAUCAAGUGUUUCAGAGGGUACAAG
RNAcentral lists this long non-coding RNA (23762 nucleotides) under Lactuca sativa (garden lettuce). Its description in RNAcentral is "long non-coding RNA (LSAT_LNC007202)". The record is from RNAcentral. Lineage: Eukaryota; Viridiplantae; Streptophyta; Magnoliopsida; Asterales; Asteraceae.